AACGAACGCUGGCGGCAUGCCUAACACAUGCAAGUCGAACGGGAUCCUAGCUUGCUAGGUGAGAGUGGCGGACGGGUGAGUAACACGUGGGAAUCUGCCUUUUGGUUCGGGAUAACCGCGGGAAACUGCGGCUAAUACCGAAUGCCCUCGAGAGAGGAAAGAUUUAUCGCCAGAAGAGGAGCCCGCGUCCCGAUUAGGUAGUUGGUGGGGUAAAGGCCUACCAAGCCGACGAUCGGUAGCUGGUCUGAGAGGAUGAUCAGCCACACUGGGACUGAGAUACGGCCCAGACUCCUACGGGAGGCAGCAGUGGGGAAUAUUGGACAA
RNAcentral lists this ribosomal RNA (324 nucleotides) under uncultured bacterium. RNAcentral's name for it is "bacterial SSU rRNA". It matches the Rfam family "Bacterial small subunit ribosomal RNA", at positions 29 to 371 of the family's 1533-position model. The record is from RNAcentral.